RNAcentral lists this ribosomal RNA (253 nucleotides) under uncultured bacterium. RNAcentral describes it as "partial 16S ribosomal RNA". It matches the Rfam family "Bacterial small subunit ribosomal RNA", at positions 524 to 776 of the family's 1533-position model. The record is from RNAcentral.
UACGUAGGGGGCAGGCGUUGUCCGGAUUUAUUGGGCGUAAAGAGCGUGUAGGCGGCCAGGUAGGUGGGUUGUGAAAACUGGAGGCUCAACCUUCAGACGUCGACCCAAACCCCCUGGCUAGAGUCCGGAAGAGGAGAGUGGAAUUCCUGGUGUAGCAGUGAAAUGCGCAGAUAUCAGGAAGAACACCCGUGGCGAAGGCGGCUCUCUGGGACGGUACUGACGCUGAGACGCGAAAGCGUGGGGAGCGAACAGG